Molecule: ribosomal RNA, 167 nt
Filed under: Lycenchelys hippopotamus
Lineage: Eukaryota; Metazoa; Chordata; Actinopteri; Perciformes; Zoarcidae
Description: partial 12S rRNA
Source: RNAcentral
CACCGCGGUUAUACGAGAGGCCCAAGUUGAAAGAGCCCGGCGUAAAGAGUGGUUAAGUUAAAAUUUUACUAAAGCCGAACAUCAUCACGGCUGUUAUACGCACCCGAAGAUAAGAAGCUCAGCCACGAAGGUAGCUUUAUUUGUCUGAACCCACGAAAGCUACGGCA